GUUUGUUACAGGCAGUCAUUGCUUUUGACGGUGACACGUUCAUUGGUAAGGGGAAAACCAGGGUUUCAGUGUAUACCACAAUAUUUGAACAUCGAAAAUGACGUAAUCAAUUCAACUUUCGAACUGCAUUUUUUUCAAACAUUUAAGUAAUGACAGAACUUUCUAUUCAUAAGUUUGUUUACAAAAAAAUGCAUAAUUAAAAAUGAAAAUUGAAAAGAAUAAUCUA
This 226-nucleotide long non-coding RNA is filed under the name Mytilus galloprovincialis (Mediterranean mussel). Lineage: Eukaryota; Metazoa; Mollusca; Bivalvia; Mytilida; Mytilidae. The record is from RNAcentral.